GCCCCUAUACAUGCAAGUCGAACGAACUCUGGUAUUGAUUGGUGCUUGCAUCAUGAUUUACAUUUGAGUGAGUGGCGAACUGGUGAGUAACACGUGGGAAACCUGCCCAGAAGCGGGGGAUAACACCUGGAAACAGAUGCUAAUACCGCAUAACAACUUGGACCGCAUGGUCCGAGCUUGAAAGAUGGCUUCGGCUAUCACUUUUGGAUGGUCCCGCGGCGUAUUAGCUAGAUGGUGGGGUAACGGCUCACCAUGGCAAUGAUACGUAGCCGACCUGAGAGGGUAAUCGGCCACAUUGGGACUGAGACACGGCCCAAACUCCUACGGGAGGCAGCAGUAGGGAAUCUUCCACAAUGGACGAAAGUCUGAUGGAGCAACGCCGCGUGAGUGAAGAAGGGUUUCGGCUCGUAAAACUCUGUUGUUAAAGAAGAACAUAUCUGAGAGUAACUGUUCAGGUAUUGACGGUAUUUAACCAGAAAGCCACGGCUAACUACGUGCCAGCAGCCGCGGUAAUACGUAGGUGGCAAGCGUUGUCCGGAUUUAUUGGGCGUAAAGCGAGCGCAGGCGGUUUUUUAAGUCUGAUGUGAAAGCCUUCGGCUCAACCGAAGAAGUGCAUCGGAAACUGGGAAACUUGAGUGCAGAAGAGGACAGUGGAACUCCAUGUGUAGCGGUGAAAUGCGUAGAUAUAUGGAAGAACACCAGUGGCGAAGGCGGCUGUCUGGUCUGUAACUGACGCUGAGGCUCGAAAGUAUGGGUAGCAAACAGGAUUAGAUACCCUGGUAGUCCAUACCGUAAACGAUGAAUGCUAAGUGUUGGAGGGUUUCCGCCCUUCAGUGCUGCAGCUAACGCAUUAAGCAUUCCGCCUGGGGAGUACGGCCGCAAGGCUGAAACUCAAAGGAAUUGACGGGGGCCCGCACAAGCGGUGGAGCAUGUGGUUUAAUUCGAAGCUACGCGAAGAACCUUACCAGGUCUUGACAUACUAUGCAAAUCUAAGAGAUUAGACGUUCCCUUCGGGGACAUGGAUACAGGUGGUGCAUGGUUGUCGUCAGCUCGUGUCGUGAGAUGUUGGGUUAAGUCCCGCAACGAGCGCAACCCUUAUUAUCAGUUGCCAGCAUUAAGUUGGGCACUCUGGUGAGACUGCCGGUGACAAACCGGAGGAAGGUGGGGAUGACGUCAAAUCAUCAUGCCCCUUAUGACCUGGGCUACACACGUGCUACAAUGGAUGGUACAACGAGUUGCGAACUCGCGAGAGUAAGCUAAUCUCUUAAAGCCAUUCUCAGUUCGGAUUGUAGGCUGCAACUCGCCUACAUGAAGUCGGAAUCGCUAGUAAUCGCGGAUCAGCAUGCCGCGGUGAAUACGUUCCCGGGCCUUGUACACACCGCCCGUCACACCAUGAGAGUUUGUAACACCCAAAGUCGGUGGGGUAACCUUUUAGGAACCAGCCGCCUAAGGU
RNAcentral lists this ribosomal RNA (1453 nucleotides) under Lactiplantibacillus plantarum. RNAcentral describes it as "bacterial SSU rRNA". It matches the Rfam family "Bacterial small subunit ribosomal RNA". Lineage: Bacteria; Bacillati; Bacillota; Bacilli; Lactobacillales; Lactobacillaceae. The record is from RNAcentral.